This 469-nucleotide ribosomal RNA is filed under the name uncultured archaeon. Its description in RNAcentral is "bacterial SSU rRNA". It matches the Rfam family "Bacterial small subunit ribosomal RNA", at positions 921 to 1388 of the family's 1533-position model. The record is from RNAcentral.
CCGCACAAGCGGUGGAGCAUGUGGUUCAAUUCGACGCAACGCGAAGACCCUUACCUGGGCUCGAAAUGCAGGAGACCGGGGUAGAAAUAUCCUUUUCUCGCAAGAGACUGCUGUAUAGGUGCUGCAUGGCUGUCGUCAGCUCGUGUCGUGAGAUGUUGGGUUAAGUCCCGCAACGAGCGCAACCCUCAUCCCUAGUUGCCAUCGGGUCAAGCCGGGCACUCUAGUGAAACCGCCCCGGAUAACGGGGAGGAAGGUGGGGAUGACGUCAAGUCCUCAUGGCCUUUAUGUCCAGGGCUACACACGUGCUACAAUGGUCGGUACAAACCGUCGCAAACCUGCAAAGGGGAGCUAAUCGGAAAAAGCCGGCCUCAGUUCGGAUUGGAGUCUGCAACUCGACUCCAUGAAGCUGGAAUCGCUAGUAAUCGCAGAUCAGAACGCUGCGGUGAAUACGUUCCCGGGCCUUGUACAC